AUCCCCAGAUACAACGGACAAUAUGCUAUUAUAAUCGUAUGGCAUUGUCCUUGCUGUUUGGAGAUAA
Molecule: non-coding RNA, 67 nt
Organism: Gorilla gorilla gorilla (western lowland gorilla)
Lineage: Eukaryota; Metazoa; Chordata; Mammalia; Primates; Hominidae
Product: microRNA mir-2355
Exons: 1
Source: RefSeq, marked provisional